This 450-nucleotide ribosomal RNA is filed under the name uncultured bacterium. Its description in RNAcentral is "partial 16S ribosomal RNA". It matches the Rfam family "Bacterial small subunit ribosomal RNA", at positions 354 to 796 of the family's 1533-position model. The record is from RNAcentral.
GUGGGGAAUAUUGGACAAUGGGGGGAACCCUGAUCCAGCCAUGCCGCGUGUGUGAAGAAGGCCUUUUGGUUGUAAAGCACUUUAAGCGAGGAGGAGGCUACCGAGAUUAAUACUCUUGGAUAGUGGACGUUACUCGCAGAAUAAGCACCGGCUAACUCUGUGCCAGCAGCCGCGGUAAUACAGAGGGUGCAAGCGUUAAUCGGAUUUACUGGGCGUAAAGCGCGCGUAGGUGGCCAAUUAAGUCAAAUGUGAAAUCACCGAGCUUAACUUGGGAAUUGCAUUCGAUACUGGUUGGCUAGAGUAUGGGAGAGGAUGGUAGAAUUCCAGGUGUAGCGGUGAAAUGCGUAGAGAUCUGGAGGAAUACCGAUGGCGAAGGCAGCCAUCUGGCCUAAUACUGACACUGAGGUGCGAAAGCAUGGGGAGCAAACAGGAUUAGAACCCCUGUAGUCC